UUUACUAUAUAUUUCUGGUAUAAAUUUAUAUUUCUCCCAAAUCUCAUGCUUUUGGCUUUGGAAACCCAACUCACCAUUAAAUUGCAGCGUCUUAAAUUGUACUCUCUUUGCAUACUGAUUUAUCCUCUGGUACUCAGCUAAUUCUUUUCGUGUUCGUUUUUGCCAUCGAGGACAUCAACAGGGGCCCGCUGCUCUUACUCUACAUGUCUUUGGGGUAUCACGUCUACAAUACCUACCACAUUAAUCAGAGGACUUUGGAGGGCCCUCUGUUUUGGCUGUCAGGAGGGGCCGAGAACCUUCCCAAUUAUACAUGUCCAUUUGAUCCUUUGCCUAAUGAUGAAGGACAGUUUCCAUCUCUGUAUCAGAUGGUCCCAAGGAAUCAUCUUUGCCUCUUGGCAUGGUGAAGCUGUUGCAGCAUUUUAGCUAGAUCUGGUAGGGCUGCUUGUCUCGGAUGACAUAAAAGGUGGGCAUUUUUGGAAUACUUUGAAAACGUGGAAAGCGUGUGUUACCACCUCCCAGUGGGACUUUAUCACACAUGGGGGAAGUUUCAUACUUAAUCCAUUCCAUGGGACUCUCACUUUUUCAAAGCAGAACAGUGAGAUGCCUGGCUUCCAGCAUUUUGUUCAGACAGACUCCAAUGAAUGUGCAAAAUGCCCAGACAACCAGUAUUCAGUGAGAGCGAUCACUGCCUCACAGAGUUGUGACCUUCCUGGACUUUGAAGAUGCACUGGGGACAGCACUGGCCAGCAUAGCUCUCUGUUUCUCUGUCCUCACUGCCGCCAUGGUUCUUAUGAUCUUUGUGAAGCACAUACACACACUCAUAGUCAAGACUCUCAGCGACAUCUCUCUGUCUGUUUUCUUCUGCUCCUUGCUCUUCACUGGCUGUACAAACACAGUCACUUGUAACCUCUGACAGACAACAUUUGGAAUCAUUUUUACUGUGGUUGUUUCAACUGCGUUAGCUAAAACUAUCACUGUGCUUAUAGCCUGUAAGGCUACAGCAUCAGAGAGAAAGCCAAAGUGGUUUUGGGGACCGGGAGUAUUUAGCACAGUUAUUUUCAUCUGUUUCCUUAUCCAAGUAACUCUCUGGAAUUUGGCAUGGGAUCAAAGAGUGCCAUCAGGACUCUCAAUGAUGAGGUAUUCUUUGCCUUCCACUCUGUUCUGGGAUUCUUGACCUUUUUGGCACUGGGGAGCUUCAUCUUGGCUUUCCUGGCCAGGAGCCUGCCUGACACCUUCAAUGAAGCCAAGUUCUUGAUGUUCAGCAUGCUGAUGUUAUGUACUGUUUGAAUUACCUUCCAUACUGUGUAACAUAGCACCAAAGGGAAGGUCAUGGUUGCCUUGGAAAUAUUCUCCACCUUGACUUCCAGUGCUGAGUGCUAGGUGGUAUCUUUGCUCCCAGAGGCCGUAUUAUUCUAAUAAAACCAGAUAAGAAUACUCUUGGAGAGUUAAGGAAAAAA
RNAcentral lists this long non-coding RNA (1457 nucleotides) under Homo sapiens (human). Its description in RNAcentral is "non-protein coding lnc-SPATA31A6-16:1". The record is from RNAcentral. Lineage: Eukaryota; Metazoa; Chordata; Mammalia; Primates; Hominidae.